This 497-nucleotide ribosomal RNA is filed under the name uncultured bacterium. RNAcentral's name for it is "partial 16S ribosomal RNA". It matches the Rfam family "Bacterial small subunit ribosomal RNA", at positions 28 to 507 of the family's 1533-position model. The record is from RNAcentral.
GAUGAACGCUGGCGGCGUGCCUAAUACAUGCAAGUCGAGCGAACAGACGAGGAGCUUGCUCCUCUGACGUUAGCGGCGGACGGGUGAGUAACACGUGGAUAACCUACCUAUAAGACUGGGAUAACUUCGGGAAACCGGAGCUAAUACCGGAUAAUAUAUUGAACCGCAUGGUUCAAUAGUGAAAGUCGGUUUUGCUGUCACUUAUAGAUGGAUCCGCGCCGCAUUAGCUAGUUGGUAAGGUAACGGCUUACCAAGGCAAGGAUGCGUAGCCGACCUGAGAGGGUGAUCGGCCACACUGGAACGGAGACACGGUCCAGACUCCUACGGGAGGCAGCAGUAGGGAAUCUUCCGCAAUGGGCGAGAGCCUGACGGAGCAACGCCGCGUGAGUGAUGGAGGUCUUCGGAUCGUAAAACUCUGUUAUUAGGGAAGAACAAAUGUGUAAGUAACUAUGCACGUCUUGACGGUACCUAAUCAGAAAGCCACGGCUAACUACGUG